AUGGUUAAGUUAGAAAGGGCGCACGGUGAAUGCCUUGGCACUAGGAGCCGAUGAAGGACGGGACUAACACCGAUAUGCUUCGGGGAGCUGUAAGUGAGCUUUGAUCCGGAGAUUUCCGAAUGGGGAAACCCACUGUUCGUAAUGGAACAGUAUCUUUAUCUGAAUACAUAGGAUAUUGAAGGCAGACCCGGGGAACUGAAACAUCUAAGUACCCGGAGGAAGAGAAAGCAAAUGCGAUUUCCUGAGUAGCGGCGAGCGAAACGGAAUUAGCCCAAACCAAGAGGCUUGCCUCUUGGGGUUGUAGGACACUCUAUACGGAGUUACAAAGGAACGAAGUAAAUGAAGCGACCUGGAAAGGUCCGUCGAAGAAGGUAACAACCCUGUAGUUGAAACUUCGUUCCCUCUUGAGUGGAUCCUGAGUACGGCGGAACACGUGAAAUUCCGUCGGAAGCUGGGAGGACCAUCUCCCAAGGCUAAAUACUACCUAGUGACCGAUAGUGAACCAGUACCGUGAGGGAAAGGUGAAAAGCACCCCGGAAGGGGAGUGAAAGAGAUCCUGAAACCGUGUGCCUACAAGUAGUCAGAGCCCGUUAACGGGUGAUGGCGUGCCUUUUGUAGAAUGAACCGGCGAGUUACGAUCCCAUGCAAGGUUAAGCUGAUAAGGCGGAGCCGUAGCGAAAGCGAGUCUGAAUAGGGCGUUUAGUAUGUGGUUGUAGACCCGAAACCAGGUGAUCUACCCAUGUCCAGGGUGAAGUUCAGGUAACACUGAAUGGAGGCCCGAACCCACGCACGUUGAAAAGUGCGGGGAUGAGGUGUGGGUAGCGGAGAAAUUCCAAUCGAACCUGGAGAUAGCUGGUUCUCUCCGAAAUAGCUUUAGGGCUAGCCUCAUGUUGUGAGAGUCUUGGAGGUAGAGCACUGAUUGGACUAGGGGCCCCCAACGGGUUACCGAAUUCAGUCAAACUCCGAAUGCCAAAGACUUAUCCAUGGGAGUCAGACUGCGAGUGAUAAGAUCCGUAGUCAAAAGGGAAACAGCCCAGACCACCAGCUAAGGUCCCCAAGUAUACGUUAAGUGGAAAAGGAUGUGGAGUUGCUUAGACAACCAGGAUGUUGGCUUAGAAGCAGCCACCAUUUAAAGAGUGCGUAAUAGCUCACUGGUCGAGUGACUCUGCGCCGAAAAUGUACCGGGGCUAAACGUAUCACCGAAGCUGUGGAUUGACAUCUUAGAUGUCAGUGGUAGGAGAGCGUUCUAAGUGCUGUGAAGUCAGACCGUAAGGACUGGUGGAGCGCUUAGAAGUGAGAAUGCCGGUAUGAGUAGCGAAAGACAAGUGAGAAUCUUGUCCACCGAAUGCCUAAGGUUUCCUGAGGAAGGCUCGUCCGCUCAGGGUUAGUCGGGACCUAAGCCGAGGCUGAAAAGCGUAGGCGAUGGCCAACAGGUUGAUAUUCCUGUACCACCUCCCCGCCGUUUGAGUAAUGGGGGGACGCAGUAGGAUAGGGUAAGCGCGCUGCUGGAUAUGCGCGUUCAAGCAGUUAGGCUGAUGAGUAGGCAAAUCCGCUCAUCAUAAAGGCUGAGCUGUGAUGACGAGGGAAUUAUAGUACCGAAGUUCCUGAUUCCACACUGCCAAGAAAAGCCUCUAGCGAGGCGGGAGGUGCCCGUACCGCAAACCGACACAGGUAGGCGAGGAGAGAAUCCUAAGGUGAUCGAGAGAACUCUCGUUAAGGAACUCGGCAAAAUGACCCCGUAACUUCGGGAGAAGGGGUGCUCUGGUAGGGUGUAUAGCCCGAGAGAGCCGCAGUGAAUAGGCCCAGGCGACUGUUUAGCAAAAACACAGGUCUCUGCGAAGCCGCAAGGCGAAGUAUAGGGGCUGACGCCUGCCCGGUGCUGGAAGGUUAAGAGGAGGGGUUAUCCUUUGGGAGAAGCUCUGAAUCGAAGCCCCAGUAAACGGCGGCCGUAACUAUAACGGUCCUAAGGUAGCGAAAUUCCUUGUCGGGUAAGUUCCGACCCGCACGAAAGGCGUAACGAUCUGGGCACUGUCUCAACGAGAGACUCGGUGAAAUUAUAGUACCUGUGAAGAUGCAGGUUACCCGCGACAGGACGGAAAGACCCCGUGGAGCUUUACUGUAGCCUGAUAUUGAAUUUUGGUACAGCUUGUACAGGAUAGGUAGGAGCCUGAGAAGCCGGAGCGCUAGCUUCGGUGGAGGCGUCGGUGGGAUACUACCCUGGCUGUAUUGAAAUUCUAACCCGCGGCCCUGAUCGGGCCGGGAGACAGUGUCAGGUGGGCAGUUUGACUGGGGCGGUCGCCUCCUAAAAUGUAACGGAGGCGCCCAAAGGUUCCCUCAGAAUGGUUGGAAAUCAUUCGUAGAGUGUAAAGGCACAAGGGAGCUUGACUGCGAGACCUACAAGUCGAGCAGGGACGAAAGUCGGGCUUAGUGAUCCGGUGGUUCCGCAUGGAAGGGCCAUCGCUCAACGGAUAAAAGCUACCCCGGGAUAACAGGCUUAUCUCCCCAAGAGUCCACAUCGACGGGGAGGUUUGGCACCUCGAUGUCGGCUCAUCGCAUCCUGGGGCUGUAGUCGGUCCCAAGGGUUGGGCUGUUCGCCCAUUAAAGCGGUACGCGAGCUGGGUUCAGAACGUCGUGAGACAGUUCGGUCCCUAUCCGUCGUGGGCGUAGGAAAUUUGAGAGGAGCUGUCCUUAGUACGAGAGGACCGGGAUGGACACACCGCUGGUGUACCAGUUGUCUUGCCAAAGGCAUCGCUGGGUAGCUAUGUGUGGACGGGAUAAGUGCUGAAAGCAUCUAAGCAUGAAGCCCCCCUCAAGAUGAGAUUUCCCAUAGCGCAAGCUAGUAAGAUCCCUGAAAGAUGAUCAGGUUGAUAGGUCAGAGGUGGAAGCGUGGCGACAUGUGUAGCUGACUGAUACUAAUCGAUCGAGGACUUAACCAAAA
Molecule: ribosomal RNA, 2938 nt
Filed under: Priestia megaterium
Lineage: Bacteria; Bacillati; Bacillota; Bacilli; Caryophanales; Bacillaceae
Description: bacterial LSU rRNA
Rfam family: Bacterial large subunit ribosomal RNA
Source: RNAcentral